GGAUUAGGCAUGCAAGUCGAACGGUAUGGUGCUUUCGGGCAUCAGAGAGUGGCGAACGGGUGAGUAACACGUAGGUGAUCUACCCUCAAGACGGGGACAACCCAGGGAAACUUGGGCUAAUACCGGAUGAUAGCAGCAGUGAUGUUGUUUAAAAGAUGGCUUUCGGGCUGUCGUUUGGGGAUGAGCCUGCGUCCUAUUAGUUAGUUGGUGUGGUAAUGGCAUACCAAGGCGAUGAUAGGUAGGCGGCCUUAACGGGUGGUCGCCCACACUGGGAUUGAGAUACGGCCCAGACUCCUACGGGAGGCAGCAGUCGAGAAUAGUCUACAAUGGACGAAAGUCUGAUAGUGCGACGCCGCGUGAACGAAGAAGCCCUUCGGGGUGUAAAGUUCUUUUAUAUGUGAGCAAUGCUUCUUAGGUGAAUAGUCUGAGGAGAGAGAUAUUAGCAUAUGAAUAAGCAACGGCUAACUCCGUGCCAGCAGCCGCGGUAAUA
Molecule: ribosomal RNA, 490 nt
Filed under: uncultured bacterium
Lineage: Bacteria
Description: bacterial SSU rRNA
Rfam family: Bacterial small subunit ribosomal RNA
Source: RNAcentral